AACGAACGCUGGCGGCAGGCUUAACACAUGCAAGUCGAACGCCCCGCAAGGGGAGUGGCAGACGGGUGAGUAACGCGUGGGAAUCUACCUAGUUCUGCGGAACAACAGUUGGAAACGACUGCUAAUACCGCAUACGCCCUACGGGGGAAAGAUUUAUCGGAAUUAGAUGAGCCCGCGUAAGAUUAGCUAGUUGGUGGGGU
RNAcentral lists this ribosomal RNA (200 nucleotides) under uncultured bacterium. RNAcentral's name for it is "partial 16S ribosomal RNA". It matches the Rfam family "Bacterial small subunit ribosomal RNA", at positions 29 to 258 of the family's 1533-position model. The record is from RNAcentral.